CGAUGCCGCGCGAGAGAGACCCCGCCAACGGGGCGCCGACGGGGCAAUACUCCCCAGUAACCUCUCAGGCACCAGGACCGCGUGGAGUAG
Molecule: non-coding RNA, 90 nt
Filed under: Nocardiopsis sp.
Lineage: Bacteria; Bacillati; Actinomycetota; Actinomycetes; Streptosporangiales; Nocardiopsidaceae
Description: Glycine sequence
Rfam family: Glycine riboswitch aptamer
About the family: This family represents the bacterial glycine riboswitch. Glycine riboswitches usually consist of two metabolite-binding aptamers domains with similar structures in tandem.
Source: RNAcentral